UACGGAGGGUGCGAGCGUUAAUCGGAAUUACUGGGCGUAAAGGGUUCGUAGGUGGUUAUAUAAGUCAGAUGUGAAAUACUUGGGCUCAACCUGAGAACUGCAUUUGAUACUGUUUAACUAGAGUUCGGUAGAGGAUUGGGGAAUUUCCGGUGUAGCGGUGAAAUGCGUAGAGAUCGGAAGGAACAUCAAUGGCGAAGGCAACAAUCUGGACCUGAACUGACACUGAGGGACGAAAGCGUGGGUAGCAAACAGG
This 253-nucleotide ribosomal RNA is filed under the name uncultured bacterium. Its description in RNAcentral is "partial 16S ribosomal RNA". It matches the Rfam family "Bacterial small subunit ribosomal RNA", at positions 524 to 776 of the family's 1533-position model. The record is from RNAcentral.